AUUCCCUAUGCAUGUGCGGUCGCUUCUGACAGACUGUUUUUUUUUUAUAUCGAUUCGUUUCGCACGCUCCCCCCGUCGGCCGUCGAAACGUCCACACACCCCUCCGUCGGCUGCAUCGUCCGCCAGUUGGAUCGGCAGCACCACCCCUUCAUAUGAUUUCAAUGGUCUGGCCCGCAUUUGAUCAAACUGGGCAAGAUCUGGCCCGAACCUGAAAUGAGUUGACACCCAUGAUAUAGAGCCACAGCAUCAACAAGACAAUUCGUCUUUGCCUCUACAAUAAACAUAUACAAAAACGUCUGCUUUUGAUGUUCUAAUAAAAGGAUGACUUUGUCAAGUGCUGGAGAAAGGGAAGUUGCCGCAUUCUAAACGCCAUCUUUAGUGUUUCUGACAUGUCAAAGAGCUUUACUAACUCUUUAUCCGUUAGUUGGAGCUGCAUCCAAUUGUCAAAUGGAUGUUGAAUCUGUUCUGACGGGAUACAGAAAUUUUAAAAGCUGAACUAAUGAGUGCAAGGCAGUAUUUUUUAUGCUAAUGGUAAUUUUGGUUGCACAAUUUAGCGUUUGUUAAGUGACUGGACUGCAGAUUGGCCAAUAUAUAGAUAUAGAAUAACCCUGACCAGCCCCGACCACCUGAUGAUGUGGUGGUUCACUUAUACACCGUGAUCUGUUGGCUUAAGCUUCUAUCUUUUUCACAGUUUUUAUGCUGCAGAAUCAGUAAUAUCCUUCAAAACAUAUUAUACAACCUGCUGUUACAUUUGUAUAUGUUUGAGCAAACUGUUGUAAAAAUCCCAGGAAAUAAUCCAGCCAUGAAUUGAGGAAAACCCAGGUGACAGAUUUUGAGAUGUCCUGGAUAAUAGAUGAUGAAUCCUGCUAAGGCCGUACCCUUCCUCUGAUUGGCUUGCAUGCCUGGUCUAAAUUAGUUGGAUUGGUUUGGUUUAAGCAUGAGAUGGGAUAAUGGUUAAAUUAGGGUUAUCUGGGUAAGCCAAUGAGAGACUGAGUACUGGGAUUCCUAUUAUCGAAUCCUGAAUUUGAUACUCAAAUCACUUCACAGUCUGCAGAGGAUGCACAAGCUGUACAGCAUUGCUUUAUUCAAUAUUAAAUAAACAAAUGCACUAAUAAAUAUUUAUUUACUUUGCAGGGACAAUGCACACUAAUCAACAGGUGUACUGUAAGUGAGGCACGGUUAGCCAGAGAGGCUAAUUUCCAUCUGCUGUCCCCGGCUAGAUAUUUUUUAAGGUAAUCCUGCUAAUCCUGAAAAUAUGUGUAGUUUUAAAUAUAUAGAUUAGUCAAUCUGUUCAAAAUGAUGAAUAGACUUUAUUGAAAAAGGUUCAUUUUCAAUUUUUUCUUUACAUUUUUCAGAAUUCAUUUAUCUUUCAAUUCCAUGUUUGAAUAUUUAAUUUCUUAUCCAUUCAUUAGAAUUUUUUUUAUUAUUUCUCAGGAAGAGGCAGGUCCAGUGCAAUGUGUGUAUGGAAUAGCUGACAAUCAGGAGAAUAACCUUAUAAAUCGAUUGCAGAAUGAAUGAUAGCAACUUGCAGCUGCCUCCAGACCUCGACCACAAAACCUCCUCACCACUAGAGAGACACAUACACACGAGAUUCUAAACUCAAGAUAAGUUUUGAUGUGAUGUUGGCACGAGAUGAAAAGGUCAAGGAGGUCACAGGAAUCAAUAGGAAUCCUCGGGUGAAAACAUCAUGGCAAAUUGAACGGGCUCUAGUUUUUGUUUGACAGUUGGAAUGACCUUAACAUCGAUUGUUUCUAUUUUACACCUCGCUGUUUCAGUAUUGAACAAAAACUUGGCAUAAGAUUAGCAGCAAAGCUGCUCAGAACAAAUGGCUUUAUUCUAAAAAAACAUAAAAAACAUACAAAACUAAAUUCAGUCCUUUGCUUUUUAAUCUUUACACUUUACAGUAUGCAUCCGCACAGCGCAUAGCGAGCUGGGGUUUAGGAAACAGUCCAAAAAUCUGAGAACGCAGCAAAACCUACAUCCUGGAUGGCCUUUGGAGGUUCCUGUUUGAUGCCAAAUGAAAAAAAGAAAUGAUGACGGCAUUAUGCGCCUCCUGCUCUGCCCAGGGCAGAGUUGCAGGUGCUGUUGGGAAGCAUCCUUCCGGCUCGGGCCCAGGGAGAAGCGUAGUGGGAGAGCUUCCCAGUUUGCACCAUAACCAAUCAGCAGGCUGAUACAUUAUUGAGUUUCCAGGGUACUAUAAAGUUAGAUGACCUUCAGUGCAUCCCGUAAUCCCACGGUUUUAAACACAUGGCUGCUGCAUGGUGUAACACGAUAGCGUAGAAAGGAAAAAUAAAUUUCUUUCAAUUCAAAAGAAAGGUUUCUUUUUUGUACAAUCUAUUGCCCAAAUAUCAGCUCAAUUAAAUGAAAGAAUAAGCAGUAAAUUCAACAGCUAAAUAAAACAAAAUUAGCGCUUUAAAGUGAAACUUAUGAGUUCUUAAUAUGAAGCCUUAACGGUCUAAGACUUCAUAGUAUGCUUAGCAUGUUCUAUCAGCAACUCAUCCCUUCAUUUGGUCUUCAUGCCUAUUACAAUAAUUCACAUCCUGCAUGCAUUUUUACACUACUCACUAAUCUUCUCUUCGAGGAGGAAAUUGUGACUGCUCUAGUAUGUGCGGCAAUUCAAACCUUUGUUUCUGUCCACUCCUAAUUUCCCUUUCAAAUGCAGAAAAUUGCACAAUAUUUUGGGUGACCACGUCUGGCUCCAUGUUCAAGGAUCUCUGUUGACUGACAUUUCAAAACAGAAUAUAUUGCCUUUCUUUUUCUGCCAUUUCAUUUUUAUUUAAACUUCCAUUAAUGUACAACGGAAUUGCAUCUUCAAUUUUUACUCAGAGGGAACCUUUUGGCUGCGGACAUACAGUAUCUAUAAUAUGUAUACAUAUAUACUGUAUAUACAUAUAUAUGUACACAUAUGCAGGCCUUACUCGGGUAUAAAAUUACACUGAACCUCAAAGUCAACAAAUCCCCCCAUUUAACCAUACUGUCCAUUAUUUCUACUAAAUCCAAACUCAUUCAAUGACCCACACACAGCAAAAACAGAAAAUAACAUCUGUGUGUUGCUUUGUCGGUCACUUGAACAACAAUUUUUGUUUUACUGGCUUUGUGUAUACUGUAAAGAAGAGAACAGAAAAAAUGGAAGAAGUCUGAACUUUAGAUAGAAGCAAGAGCGAAGAAGGCAGCUUUGUACUGCUGUCAGGACCACAUCUGCUCUGCAGAUGUACCAUAGGUGGCGGACUGUUUGUUUAUGCAGCAGGGAGAGAACAUAUUUUGUUAACUGAGUGGGUUCUUUGAAUUAAAUGUGUAAAACAAGAGGAUUCCAUCCCCUAACAUCUCCCACUGCACUGCCUCCUGGGUAUAAGACAGGUUCUUGUUUUGCUAAGUUAGUGAACGUGACACCCUGAAAGCAGAUACAAUGCAUUUUUAAAUACUGUCAAAGGUUCCACCACAUUAAUUCCUCAGAAAUCACUACGACAUCACGCAUUAACAAUAUAAUCUAUGAUGAAAAACACUUUAUGGUCGAACGCCACGUGCCCCCCUCCUCAAAUUGUAAGGCAAAGAAAUUGUGAGUGAGACAUCACGCUAGCCCUCAGAGGAAUCAUUUAUUGAUGUAUAUCAAACAGAGCGAGGGAGGAUGUGGGCUCAGUUAUGAGACAGAAGGACAGAAAAGACAAAAGGAAUCGUUGAUGAUGUUCUUUUGAAGUUCCUUUAUUCCAGAAGUCCUUGGAAAUACAUAUUGAUGAAGUCCAAAUUGUCUGGCCUGAAGGGAGAAUGCAGCUUUGCAUUGCGUUAUAAAUAUUCACUAGAGAAGAGGACAUGGCUCAUUUCUAUGCGUGUCUCGAAUUAUUGCAUUCAAAAUGAUUCGCUAAGAAAAGAGAUAAUUACAGAUGAAUGUAGAGGCCGAGGCCAUCAAAAGAGAUCAUUUCCCUCAACACAAAUAGGUGCUCUUAUCGCUCCGUAAAACAUUAGUUUUAGUGCUCAAAUUCAAAGUUGGUGGCAGUCAAUGAAUUAUUAAUGAAUAAGCCUAAAGGCAGAAUCCAUUUGUCCUAAACAAAGUUAUAUGCAGUAAUCUACACUUUACGGAGUGUGGAAAAAGUAUUGCUUAAUUUGUACAGAAUACAUGGAAUUGAUACAUAUGAAAUCCAGGUUAUUGUGAGCCGUUAAUGGUGGUCUAAUAUACGCAGCGCUAACGUAAUAAUAAUCAAUUUCAUCAGUCCCACAAUGGGGAGUACCAAUACCACACAACUGGGAGCAGUGGGCUGCCGUUACAUGUCAAGGGACUCAGGAACUCUUCGACAUGUCUUAGUUGGGGAUCGGGUGCCGGAGGACCCUCUCUACUCCAUGCAUAGACAGUGGACAUGGGGGUCUCAAAAGACUAAACUUCCACUUGUGUCGCAAGUGAUACCAAGAAGCGAAUGCUGAAUAUGUAGUUAUCCAUUAUAUCCAGUUGAAUAUAAUAAUGAUGCCCUUAUAUGACCUCUGUGGUAAUUGUCGUUACAAAUGGACACGGACAACGGCAUGUCUUCAGCCUGCUGGCAUAUUGACUGAACUGACCUGCACGACAACACACAGAUACAUUUAUACAGCCCCAGGUACGGGGCGUCCAGAGGGUCAUACUACAACCUCCAUAGGUAAACAAGGCCAACAGCGGAGAGAUUUGCUAUUUCCUUAUACGUAUUUUAAAAGAUUGUCAUCCGUGCAACCAGAUCAGAAUACAGUCAAAUUCAGACAAAAUCAUGAAGAUUUGCUAUGGAAUUGCAAUGUUAAUAACGACUUUUGUCCAGACUGAAAUAAAUAGUGGACAGACAGAGAUCAAAUUUGGUCUAUAAAUGUAUGGUCCCCAGAGGAUAAACCCUGGUACUUGGAAUUUGCAGUGGUAGGCAGCUGUUUUGUGACAGUGAAGGUAUAUAAAAGCCAGUUGUUUUUCUCUUUUUUGAAGAGCUAAAAAGGGAGUAAAUAAUGGCCCGGUUAUCCAAACGAACACUAAUGUUUCUUAAUAGCCAACGGAUAGACAAUCGGCACCUGUUUCCUCACAUGCUCACAGACUGUACUUAUACUCAUCAACAGAACGACAUAUAUAUAUUUUUUAUAUUUUGUUUUUCUCCGCCAAGAUAAAAAAAAAACUCAACAGAAUUCUGAUGGCGUUGUUGAUGUCCUUUAUUAAAUUCCCAUGGCACAUUUACUUUACAACUCUGCAACUCAAAGGUUUCAAAAUCUGAUCCCGUCAGUCUAAAUAGUCAUUUACCGUCCAUAUAUUACAUUACGUUACAUGUCAUUUAGCUGACGCUUUUAUAUACUUCCAAGAGCUGUACAUCUCUUGGGUCAAUUUUACCUUCAGGCAUUCCAUAGUCAACGCCUCCAUCCAUUACUGUAGCUUGUUUGCCCUUCCCUUCCAAAUAAUGAUUUGGAAUCGCAGCACAGCUCUGGGAGGAAAGUCAUUUCAACAGUAUCUUGAUGUACAUCGCAAACAAAUGUCACAUUUUGAAAACAUCGAAGAGGCACCCAGCGAAACAUCCUGCCUACACGACAUGGUAUCUUUUGGGACACAGUCACCACAAGUGUGAGUGACAACUAUGGUCAUGCUAGCAACUCCUGUUGCGAUUACAUAUGCUUUCUAUUGUUUCAACACCUGUGAUGGGAGGAAGUAUCUUUGAGUUGCCCACUGCUUUCGUUGUCGUCUAGGUUUCAUUACAAAUGUCCUGAAAUUAAACCAAUUUUGUCGUAAUUUAGUGGCAUCUCAACGAUGAGUCAUGUUACAGUUAGUUUUAAUUGCCAAAUCAUGUCUUGACUUUGAGAAAGAUCUCCAUACAAUAUGAAUAUGAGCAUAGACACCGCUGUCAUUUAGGAGUUUUUUUUUGUUCACAGUGUACUUCAUAUUUGAAUAAUGGCCACUCCAUAUACUAUGUCACUGGUCUGCCAAUCAUUAGUUAUAAUACGUCACGUUUCCCUGCCAGAGUGAGAUUUCCUCUGGCUUGACUUGAACUGAAAGUCAGGAUUAAGGCACAAUGCCAUUGGAACUAUGAAUCUACAUAUGGGUAAUGAGGUGGAUCACAUGUAAGCUGAUCAAAUUAAACCUGAUUGGAGCAGGUUGUCAAACGGCAUGUUUGUCAAGGUCCAUCUCCCAGAUUGUGUUCCUCGACCUUAUGUUUGAGAGGUUUCAAUCUUCUAGAUUCUUCUUCUUUUCUUAGUUUGAACUCAAUUUCUAUCUGUAUUCACAAAAAUACUUGCAAACAUUAUUCCUACCAGGUUAAUUGCUGAAAUCUGAAAACCCAGAAUAGAAGACAAAACAAAUGUGAAGACUUAGUAAGUAAAUGAUUUACUCCCAAUGCAAGUGGGGGAUUAUUACCUACAUUUUGGUAGUUUUGCAAUUAAUCUGGUGAAACCAUAAGAACUGUCAUUGAAUUCCUGGAUCUUCUACAUGUGCUAUUUUAAUAAUAGUCACAACUAGUAAAAUAACAUCAACUUCAUUUUUGUUCCACUUGGUUUGUUUUAAAAAGUCAGCGUGUACAAGAUCCUGACUUGAAAAACUUAAAUGGCUCACCGUUUACUUUGGUCAUGUGUUCAUUUAAUUUUCAAUCACAUUUUAAGAUAAUUUUAGAAUACAAAACAUACUUCAGUUGCAUUUAAAAAUUCUGUAACUUUGCACAUUUUUCCAGGAUCUUCGGUGCUAGGUAAAUACUAAUUAUAAUUAAAUACUAAUUAAAUACUAGACCUAGAAUCCAUUGUUGGUGUGAUUAGUAAUCCUUGCUGUUUUUUAAAUUGCAUUGCUUAAUUCCUAUUGCAAUAUUUCACACCAAUGUUUUAAUUCUUGUAACUUAAAUUAUUAUCAGUAAUUAUCAGAAAAUUAUAAUUUUUUUUUUUAUUUUGAUUUGAUUUUUUUAAAAUACUGAAAAUAAAAUGUUCCCAAUGUCAAAUUAGUUCUCAAAACCAAUACUUGGCUUUUCACUGCUUCUUCCAUCAAGCAAUGCUGGAUAGGGUACAAAACAGGCCCUCUGUGUCAUAUUCUUCCCAGUAAAUGCAUGUAAAUGUCAUUCUAGGGAGGAACGGAAUUUAAUAAAGCAAAAUUGCAUCGCUUAGCCAGUCGAACAACAAAACAGACACUAAGCCCGCCAGAGCAGCCUUUUUAAUUGUAUUUUCAACAUGCAUUCACCUCCCGUGUGAGUCCACGUGUCUGGGUGUUGGUAUAUACAUAGUCUCACAGCCCCCUGUCUCUUGAUUAAUAUGCACGGCACAUGUAGCCGAAACAAACUCCUGCUUUUCUCCGCCUCUGUUGCGUCCCCCCUCCCCUAUGCACUUAUCGCAUUUAACAUUGAAUAACCAUUCAAAUAGCGUCUGUUGAGGAAUCAUUUUGCACAAUGCGCCAUCUGUGCCACGCUGCCGCUCUUUUCACUGCCGAUAGCAACAGAGGAACGCAAGAUCACAGGCAAAAUAACUCAAACAAGAAAAAGCUUACACGCGCAAAACGGGUCGGCUGUAAUCAGUAAUCAAUUCUACAUUGGCAGAACCAAAGCUGCGGCAUGGGGGAAAUAUUUGCGGAAUAAUUUGCAAACAUCAGUAAGGAGGGGGGUAGUCUCUAUGGGGGCUGAUUGGAGCGGUGACAUCUCUGAUUAAAACAGCACCGGCUGAUGGAGCUUGGGCUAAAUGUGAUAGGUCUCACCUCAUCCCUUUUUACUGAACCAGGAAAUAAGUGAGAGCCCAACGAUGUAAAAGAAAGAAGAAAAAAAGUGAAGAUUCACAGGAACAUCUUUAACCUGUCUCCUUCGCUAUCAAAUUACCACUUUACCUGCCUCAUUCGCCGCCUGCCAUAUUUAAAUGUAUUCAAAUGAGGAGGAAAAGGCAGAUGCAGGGUGGGAUUCUGGCAAAGUAAUCAGCAGAUUUAUGAUAAUGAGAUAUUAGUGUUAUGGCUCCCUUUUUUCUGGCAGUGUGUGAACUCCGGCUCUGGCUCAGGCCCCACGCCCCCGCCAAGCCAUGAUUAGCACCAGUCCGUCGCACCAACAUCACAUUUAUUGAUUAGAAGGGUGAUGUGCAUUUUGUUUUCUAGAAAGCUGCUACAGAGUCAGAGAAAACACCAUGAAAACUGUACAGACAUCCACAGCAAAAGCUGUUGUCCUUGUUGCACUGGUUUUCAAUGGCAGGGACUUGAGAAAUAGUUUCCUGGUCCACUUAAAAUGAUUUCAUGAAGCCAAUAUGUGCUGUGCACAGGUGUUAAAGGAUCACCAUGUAAAACGUAUGGAAAGUUCCCAUGGGUUUGAGGUGAAUGGGUUGAUACAUUGAUACAUCAAAUCAAAAAGACUUCUACGUUGAUACUGAAUAGAUUUUUGUAGGGAUAAAUGUUAAUUUCUAGUAAAGAUGACCAAUAUAGCUAAAGUUAUUAACUGAACUGAGGAUGAGGGAUUAGUGUGAGAGUGAUCCCUGAUCCAUAUCUUGGAAGAAUUGUUAUUGAGAGUUGAUUCAUUGCAAUGUCCCUAACUAAGAGAGGAAGCCCUUUCUCUAUUGUAGUGUAAAUCGUUAUUCUAGGGUUGUAUAUUUGGUGGAGGACACAUGGUCUCUACUAGUCGUAAUGCUUUUAUGAGUUUUACGUGAGGCACACAACUUCAUCCUCUUGUCAAAUAUUUAAGUAUUAGUUUUCGGUUUCGUUUUUUUGAUGAAUCCUUCAUUUGAUGAUAUUUUCAGUUCUGACUUGCCUUUACUGAAUCUUGAAUCAUAAUGAACUCUUCUCCCUUCCUGUAGAUGUGUCCUGGAAAACCGAUAAGAUAUUUUCCAAUCUGUCAAAAAAUAAGGAAAUGUAGAAAGUAGGAAGUAUGUAACACAGCUCAUAUAAUGGGCUACAGUUUUUUAUAAUAACAUUGUCUAUUUGAACCGGGUGACAACAUCCGGUUCUAUAAAUUGAAGCCAAUUGAAAGUGUAAAUGUGCGUUCUCUCUACUGGCCAUCAGGGGGUGACUCCUUGUUGCAGAAAGUUAGAUCGAAUAGAAGUCUAAAGCCUAGUUUAUGCUUCUGCGUUUUCAGAGCGACGCAAGGACACGCAGACAAAAGAGCCCCUUGCGUGCUUUUUCACACCUCCUUGCGUGCGUCGACCCAUUUUUCUAGGCGCAAGCCUCCUGCAGCCCGCAAGGCUGCGAUUGGUCUGCUAACUGCAUCCUUUCCGAAGUCUCACAUUUCCGUUUUCAUAGCAAAAUACUGCCAUUAUUAAAACGAAGACUGUUUACGAGAAAACGGAUCAGAUUGAAGAGCUUUUUUGAAGAAAUACAUAAUUAUGAAGGACGCACGGAUCGCCUCGGAUUCAUGGAGGGAGAUCGCCGCAAACGCCGGUUUGCCGGUCGAGGGGUGAACAAAGUUGUGGAGGAAAAUAUGGGACAAAUGUGUCCAAGAUGAAAAGCAGCAGUGGCGAUGCACGGGGCAAUAAAGUCUAUGAUAAAUACCAACCAACGACUUCCACACACAAAGACGUGACUCUCUAGGUCGUCUUCAACAAAACACAUUACUCCGCCUGUUGUUCCGGCAGUGAAUUGCUCUGCAACACACGCAAGACUUUUAGAACCAUGAAUUGAAACGAGUGCCUCAACACGACGGUGUGUAAAGACACAGACACAGAAACAUGCGCCAGCCUUAAGAAAAAUACACUACUUCUCACUUACGUCCGAAAGCAUUGUAAAUAUAAGUUUGGUCUCAAUCCCUAGUUUUAUGUCUAGUUCCUGAUGUUCACUGUAAGUUAUGGUUAAUUUAUAGUAAACUACCCGAUAAAAAGGUUUGCUUUAGGACAGCGCUAGCUGUUGAUUCUUCUUCUUUGUGUUUUAUGUUACGGAGCGAUUAAUUUAACCAUUUUUUUAUUUGAAUCUGUCAUCCGGUCUUAAAAAAUGCACAGAAACAUUACCACUGUUCACAAUGGGUUUUAUUAUUGUUCAAGCUGCAAAGCAAGACAAAACUGAAUCAAGCCCUCGGGUUUAAUGGACAGUGUUUGUCCUACACAGAACUAAUGAAUAAGCAACAUUAGCAAGCAGCUAUGUGAGCUAGGUAGACUAGAGCACAACCUCUUCUGCGUAAAUAUUUGUGUAUAAUUUGUUUUGUUACCAUUUCAGAUUCUGAGCUGCUAUGCAAGUAAUUAACUCUCAAAUGUUUUCAAAAUCUGUGAGACACAGAACGUAUGUCAUGAUUAAUUUAACACGGUUGCACUCUUGAACGCGGAUCCUUAGAAAUUUUGGGAUGUUUACGGCCGAUCUGGGAGAACUGGAGGGCAGGACACAGACGGGUGUCCCUCUCUCCCUGACUCCCAAAAUGGACCAGUACUGCAGCCCUGUAGUCAAUCAUAUUUGAGGGUUAUAAUAAUGGUAGACAUGUGCGACAAACACACCAAACUGAGCAGAUAUUCUAACUUAACUAACCAAAAGGAACAAAAGAAAAUACAGGCAUCUUAUCUUCCUCCCUAACUGAAAACUCUCCAGGUUCCUUCAUAACUGCAGCUUGAUUUGGUGUCCAAUCACCGGCAACUAAACAGAGAAACACAGUGGAGGGAAAACAGCACCAUCCUCAGGCAGGGAGGUGCACAACAUUUAUUUUUAUGUUUUAUAUUUUAUUUUAUCAUUUAUUUAUGUAUUUCAUCUUAUGACUCUCAACAGUUUGUUGUUUGUACGAAAACUUAAACAAAGAAAAAAUAAUGGAAAUAUCAGUCCUGUCAAACAAUAAAAAAAUGUAAUCACAUUUAUGUCAUAGUUA
This is a long non-coding RNA of Gasterosteus aculeatus aculeatus (three-spined stickleback), 10703 nucleotides long. NCBI's taxonomy places the organism in Eukaryota, Metazoa, Chordata, Actinopteri, Perciformes, Gasterosteidae. The record is from Ensembl.